ACCAUGGUUUUAUUUGAUCCUUUGUUCCUUCUUGGUUGAACCUGUUCUUUCUUCCUAUUUCUUCUAUCUGCUCUUUCUUUCUUCCAUUCAACCUCCCAUCAAGGGCAGUUUCUGAUGUGGUGAUUAGUCUUUCCACACUUGUAACACCCCUCUGGUUUGUUUCUCAGGAGCCCUAGGUAUGUUGAAUGUUGUUCCUUUUGAAGGAUCCUUUCCUCUCAUAAGAUAUUUCUUGAAAUCUCU
This 240-nucleotide long non-coding RNA is filed under the name Nicotiana benthamiana. RNAcentral describes it as "long non-coding RNA (NBEN_LNC035738)". Lineage: Eukaryota; Viridiplantae; Streptophyta; Magnoliopsida; Solanales; Solanaceae. The record is from RNAcentral.